GAUGAAGAACGUAGCGAAAUGCGAUAAGUAGUGUGAAUUGCAGAAUUCAGUGAAUCAUCGAAUCUUUGAACGCACAUUGCGCCCCUUGGUAUUCCAUGGGGCAUGCCUGUUCGAGCGUCGUUUGUACCUUCAAGCUCUGCUUGGUGUUGGGUGUUUGUCUCGCCUCUGCGUGUAGACUCGCCUCAAAACAAUUGGCAGCCGGCGUAUUGAUUUCGGAGCGCAGUACAUCUCGCGCUUUGCACUCAUAACGACGACGUCCAAAAGUACAUUUUUACACUCUUGACCUCGGAUCAGGUAGGGAUACCCGCUGAACUUAAGCAUAUCAAUAAGCGGAGGA
This 337-nucleotide unclassified non-coding RNA is filed under the name soil metagenome. RNAcentral describes it as "partial contains 5.8S ribosomal RNA, internal transcribed spacer 2, and large subunit ribosomal RNA". The stretch from base 1 to 120 matches the Rfam family "5.8S ribosomal RNA", at positions 35 to 154 of the family's 154-position model. The record is from RNAcentral.